UACGAAGGGGGCUAGCGUUGUUCGGAUUUACUGGGCGUAAAGCGCACGUAGGCGGAUUGUUAAGUCAGGGGUGAAAUCCCGGAGCUCAACUCCGGAACUGCCUUUGAUACUGGCAAUCUUGAGACUGGAAGAGGUUAGUGGAAUUCCCAGUGUAGAGAUGAAAUUCGUAGAUAUUGGGAAGAACACCAGUGGCGAAGGCGGCUAACUGGUCCAGUACUGACGCUGAGGUGCGAAAGCGUGGGGAGCAAACAGG
This 253-nucleotide ribosomal RNA is filed under the name uncultured bacterium. RNAcentral's name for it is "partial 16S ribosomal RNA". It matches the Rfam family "Bacterial small subunit ribosomal RNA", at positions 524 to 776 of the family's 1533-position model. The record is from RNAcentral.